RNAcentral lists this unclassified non-coding RNA (237 nucleotides) under Hevea brasiliensis (rubber tree). The record is from RNAcentral. Lineage: Eukaryota; Viridiplantae; Streptophyta; Magnoliopsida; Malpighiales; Euphorbiaceae.
GGGAAUGUGUUGUUAGAUUCCGAUAUGAAUGGACGACUUGGAGAUUUCGGACUUGCUAAGUUAUAUGAGCAUGGAGAAAAUCCUUCCACAACAAGAGUAGUCGGUACGUUGGGUUACUUAGCUCCAGAAUUAACCAAGACUGGGAAGCCCACGACAAGUUCAGAUGUUUUUGCCUUUGGUGCGUUGCUGCUAGAAGUUGUUUGUGGGAGGCGGCCGAUUGAGGCAAAGGCAUUGCCU